This is a non-coding RNA of Arachis ipaensis, 3116 nucleotides long. The record is from RefSeq and is a predicted model, not a curated record. NCBI's taxonomy places the organism in Eukaryota, Viridiplantae, Streptophyta, Magnoliopsida, Fabales, Fabaceae.
CCUUUGCGCCCUACGAGAUCCCCGCCGCCGCUCUCUCGUCGGAGCUCUCUCUGCCGACGCUCUCAUCGCAUCUGCUCCCUCUGGCACCUCUCCCAUCUAAUCUCAACUCGCUCUCUCAGUUCUUCUUGUAACCAUCUCAAAUUUCAGUGUUACAGCUCAAGAUCUUGUUGACACUAUGCUUCUAAAUUUUCUUCUAAAUUUCUGAUAUCUUCACUCUUAACGAUGGAUCUGUAACGCCUCUACUCAAGAGCAUGACAGUGCAUAAUAUGUAUGUUGGAGAGGGUUCAGACUUCCAAUAUAAUAUAUAAAAGGGUGGCUUAGCAGUGGGGUUCUCUUGGUGACUUGACUACGUCUGUUACAUCGAUUCGAUUCGAUUGAUACAGAAGGAAUACUUAGGAUCUGCUAGAACUGGCGAUGGAUCUGUUAGACGAGAUCAAGUUGGUGGGGUCAAAAUACUCAGCUUGUUCAUCAGGGUUCACUGAAUUAUAUUAGUUUCCAGCAAUGGUAAAAGGAUUGGAGGAGUUAGUAAUCAAUUUUUAACCCUUUAAUCUGAGAAGGCUCAAAGUGAGUUGGAGCAUAGUCCAAUCUUCUCAUUCAGAACCAGAGAGUUGGAGCAUAGUCCAAUCACUAGUCUUCCACUACUACAGUACUAUCGAGAGUGCGUUUGAGCCUACAAGCUUCUAACUAAUAUUUUUCUCUUCAUGGAACAGUUGGUUGAAUCUAUUUUAAGCAAGGUUGUAGAAGAGUUCGAGCAUCAGAUUGCAAGCAGAGGAGGUGAACAGUUACAACCAAAAAUAACUUCAAGAGAUCCUGUUUCUCAAAGCAAUGGGUCUUCAAGAGGUGAACAGUUACAACAAAAAAUUUCUUGAAUGUAAGUAGAAUUGUCCAAUGAACAUGACAGCAUAGCAAAGAAAUAGGAAAGUGCUGUUGAUUCCUUUUAUUGUUGAUCUUUUUCUAGUCAUAUUCUAGCACUUGUUCUGUUUGGUUUAUUUUCUUGAGAGUAAAAACUAAAACGAGGUUCAGGGCCACCUAAUUAGAAGAUAAGAGGUGAAUUUAAUACAUUAACAGAUGUAAUACAUUCGGUUUUUUUUAAAGAUAAUAUAAAAAAAUUAUUUUUACUGUGGCAUGUAAUUGGAUGUAUUUGUAAAUUAAAUUCUUUUAAACAUUAGCCUGAAAAGAAAAUGUGCAAGUUUCAUUGAACCUUGAAAAGGGAUCGAGAUGGGGGGAGGGGCGGCGGGGGGCACCCGAUUUCUUCUACAAGGAAGCUCAGCGCCUUGGCUAUGUUGCUCGCUCUGCCUUCAAGGUUCUCGAAACUUCUGUUUCUUCUUCUUCUUCUAACUAACUAACUAACUUUGAGUUAACAGCUGGUACAGAUACAAAAGCAGCACAAGCUCAUCAAGGCUGGCUCAUUCGUACUGGACCUCGGCUGUGCUCCGGGUGCUUGGCUCUCCACAGCAAAAAGGGUUUUCUGUUAUACUUUCGGACAUGUGCCCUUUGGUUUCUGGAAUCACAACUAAAGAUGCAGCUUUGUCAGUGGAGCUAGGGAUGCGAGCAUUGGAUUUGGCUGUUGGCAGAAGAGCUGCAUUUUCAGUUUAUGCUGACGGUGAUGAUAAUCAGGAAGGUGAGCAAAGCCAUGAUGAUCCGUCCACUUUGGCGGAAACUGGAGUGUUGCAAGUUGGUGGGAACCUUCUUAUAAAGCUUUUGGAGAGCGAAGAUGCAAAAGAACAAUCUUCAUGAACUCUGGGCCCUUCUCAAUUUUCUUCUGCCUGAAAUUUUCAGCUCUGCUGAAACUUUUGAUGAAUGGUUCCAAAUAUCAGAUUUCUGCAAGGACCUGAAACUGAUCGAGCUACAGUUAAAAAAAUUAGAGAGGCCAUUGACAACCAAAUAGAAAUUACUGUGCAGCUCAUUAAUUAUCAAAGAGUGGUAACAAUUAAUAUAAGCUUCUUUAAUUCUUGCAAUUCUCUUUAUUUUACAUUGGAUAAUUGUUGGUAUGUAUCUAUGUUAAUCAUGUAAAACAAACUGCUGAAAAUGUUGAUGAUGCUGUUAGAGAACUUCCAGAUGCUAAUAUGGUAAUUAAUUAUAUUUAUUUGGCCACUCUUGUUAUUAUUGUGUUUCUCUGCCUCCCUUAUCAGCUUAUACAUUGGCAUAUAUAAUGCCCUUGUUUAUCAGCUUAUACCAAUUUCAGGGAAGUUGAAAGGCUUUCCAAAAUCCUUUUUAUAUAUACAAAAAGGUAUUUAUUGCAAUUGUUUCCUUGGUUGCAAACUAAUAGUGCUAUAUGAUCAAUGAAUAAACAAAUGAUUUGAUUAUACAUACAGUGAUAACUAUGCAGAAUCCACUUUUUAGGACAGCUUUCUGAUGAAUGGUUAUGUUCUAAAUACUGGCCGUGCAGCUCAAGGAAUGCCUCUAAACAGCUGGAUUUACCAAGUGAAUGUUAACAACACAUUCAAGUCAGGAAGUGAUGCAGUUUUAAGUGCUUAAUAGGCUUUGGCCUAUGAUUGGUCCCUUGUGAGAUGAAGGAUAUUGGCAUCAUCAUCAUCAUCAAAACUCAAAUGUUGAUUCGUUGAAUUGUUUAUUGGUUUCAAUAUUCUAUCAUCCAUCCAUCCACCGAUCAUAUAUCCAGACACAAGGCAUAGUUUUCACUUUAUGACAAGCUUUGGAGAUUUCAUCACAAUGUGUGCCAGCACAAUAUGGGCUUGCUUUGGGGCUUCUUUGUUUAGCAAAAGAUUUCAUGAACCUGGGAGCAUUUAAGUGGGGGGUUUCUUUAUUAGAGGAAGCGUCUGAGGUUGCAAGAGCAAGUGCUUAUUCUGUUAGGAAUGUCUCAUGUAGGAAAACGCUGCCAACACUACCACCGAUGCAACUGUCUCAUUUAGAGGAAGAACCUAUGCAGUUCCAGCAUGAUCUGUUUAGCUUGGCUUGGCUUGGCAUGGCAAAUAUACACGCCAAGAGAUUUUUUAUUCCAUAAGAUUUGACUACAUACUCUUUUAAUUAAAUAUUUAUUUGUGAUGAAUUAUAGUUGAUGUAUCAACACACUUUGAUGUAUAGUUGUUACUUAAUAUUAUAGUUAAUGUAUUAAUACACUUUGUUUAUGUUUUGAAUUAUAUUAAUUUACUUGUUUA